This 1552-nucleotide unclassified non-coding RNA is filed under the name Hevea brasiliensis (rubber tree). Lineage: Eukaryota; Viridiplantae; Streptophyta; Magnoliopsida; Malpighiales; Euphorbiaceae. The record is from RNAcentral.
GUCCCUGUCUCACUGCUGCUGGUCUUCACAGAUUGCUGGUUCUCACUUUCCACCGAAGACGAUGCCACUGAAAUGGGUUUUGCAUUGGCAUCCCAAUGCAGGAACAACUGCGAAAACCCAAAUCGUCAACGAGGUGUCGCAGUGCGUAGAGAGCAUCAGCGGAGUUAAAGAAGGGAGGUGGAAAGCUACUCUAACCUCCUAUAAACCCAUGGUUCGAGAACAGUCGCGAACUGCGGAGUUUCCACGCGAUUUCUUGGGGAUUUCUCUACUGGAGCAGCCAAACAAGUACUAUUUCAUGAUCUGGGGUCAAAGGCUCGUUGUCGAGGCGGAUUCAAUAAUUAGACCGUAAUGGAGAAACUUCAGUCUUGCGAAUCGAGGGGUUUGAGUAUCAACUUGGAGACUUUCAGUUGAGAGUGGGAAAGGUUGUUCCAAGUCAUUCUGGAAACUUGAGAGGAAUCGUUAUGGAGGUUAUGAACUUUCAUUUUAUCUAAUGCUCUGCUUUCUUUGGAUAGUCUGAUGUAUUUAUUUAUUAAUGCAUGUUUUGGGCUUUGAUUUCUUAUGACUGCUAAUGCAGACUCAGAUUUCAAGUUUUUGACUUUUUGGAAUCAUUUAUGUUGUAGAGAUGUUGGCUUCUUUCAUAGCAUAUUUGCCCUGAUCUGGUGGAUAUAUAGGAAUCGGAUUCACAAUGCUCAUUAAGCACUUUGUUUUUGUCAAAAGGUUAAAGCUUUUGUAGCUGAGAUACAAUCUAUUGGUAUAAUCCCUGUUACUGAAUUGUUCUUAGUUUUCUGAGGGUGUAGGACUGAGGACUGAGUACAAUAUAUUCAACUUUGUGAUACUUUGACAUUAUUAAUAUUAUGACAUCACACCAAGCAUACUUUCUCAUGCCUAUAAUAAUGCUUUUACUGUAAUAAUGCUUUUACUGUCUUUCUCCAUUGCUUGUUGAAACUUGCUUGUUAAAACCACAAGCCAUUCUAAUUGACUUGUUGCUUUGAAGGUUGAGUAUCUUUCCAUAUCUUCAAUGGAUAAAGCCAGACAAAUCAUGGAAGAAUUUGUUGAUAUAUGGCAAGAGGCCAUCUCAAAAAGAUCAUUACGGGGUCAUUUUUUGCAUAUAGAACCUAACUUUGCUAAGUAUGGCUCUUGGAUCACUAUACUCCACAACACACGGCUGUGUAGCGUGCUACAGGCUACUGUUGUGGCUUAAAUGAUUGCAGCACAGACAGUGCCGGCUGCUAGAAAUUAAGCAUGGAAUUACUUUUACCAUAGGCUUAUUGUACAACUGACCCUUUUUUGUAAGCUAAAAGAUGAAUGAUCAUGAUUUGAUAUUAUGUUUUGUUGUAUUCUAUGCUGCCACUUUCUUGAUUUGGCCAUUAUAUUUUUUUUUCAUGCCAGUGAAAAUAUGCAAUAAUAAGAAAAUGGAUCUAGGUAUCCUUUUAUAGUAUGAAAGAUAAUAUUGGGUAGCCUGAUCGUUAGGUGCUUUUUAUUGAAUUCUUACACUAUAUGAUAAUCUUCAACACAGUUCACAUUUACAUAUACUGCUGGCAUUGAAGGUUUU